Long non-coding RNA from Hypomesus transpacificus, 671 nucleotides. RefSeq lists it as uncharacterized. NCBI's taxonomy places the organism in Eukaryota, Metazoa, Chordata, Actinopteri, Osmeriformes, Osmeridae. The record is from RefSeq and is a predicted model, not a curated record. The transcript has 3 exons.
CGCGGUUGCUAAGGGGAGUGUUUGAAACCUGAAACAAAACUGCAAUAAGUUCAGUUGAAAAAGUUUGUGCAAGUGGUUGCUUAGGCUAAGUUGCGUUAAACAGUUUUCUGUACAGGGGCACUACCAGACACAGUGUAAAGUAGCCACAUCUCAGCUUGGUAGAUAAACAUCACUUAGCAAAGUGCGACUAAACCGAAAGCUAGCGUCACAAACGUUUCUACUUUCAUAUCUGCCGUCACUCCUCGCUACUGUACUGGUGGUACUGUAUCCCCGGGAGUUGCAGGAAAGAAAGAAGAUGAGUGAGAUGGAACCCCAACCCACAACUGCCCCCUCCUCCCCCUCUCUCCCCCUCCACCCCUCCUCCCCUCCUCCAUCCCCCUCUCUCCAAAACCACGCUGUGUCCUGCUCCCCUGUGAUUCGUUCGUUGCCCUCCUCGCCCCGCCCGGUGUGGGAGGAGUCUCGUGAGGUCACAGCGCGUCUUUACUCCUCCCUUCAAAGAAGCACAGAACUGCACAGCAGAGGCCAUGCCCCCAAACACCACGCCCACAUCAGGCAGGUUCCCUUGCUGAUGUCCUCCCAGCUGCACAGUACUGCACUCCCCCUGCCUCCCCCCUGCCUCCCCCCUGAAGGGGAGAAGGAGAGAGGGGAGGAGGAGAGAGGGAUGGAGAGAG